GGGGAUGCUCCCUGGAAGGCGCAGGCGUUUCCCGAUUUCCCGGCUGGGAAGAGGGGCAGCUCCAGGCUCCCUCUCCGGACCGGGAUGAGGAGCAAGGGCUGGAUUUGGGAUGUGGGAAUGGGGCAGAAAGGCGCGGCCGGGACUCGAGUUCCUCAGUGCAAUAAUGGAUUUGCCUGGAUCGGUGAUUCCAGGGACAGAGGGCUCCGGUCGCGACACCCGGAGACCGGGAAGAGCUCGGGGAAGGGGGAAAAGCCCCGCUGGUGCCGCCGGUGCCCGGGCACCCCUCGGUGCCCCAGAUCCCGCUUCUGCGGGAGCCGAGGAUGAGUUUUUCCAUCCCAAAGGCUCCCGGGAUGGAGAGGAGCCGGUUCGGGCGGGGGCUCUCCUGUCUCCCGGGGCUCGGGGUGCAGCAAUCCCGGAGGGCACGGCCAGGGAUCCACGCGGCUCCCCGGGCGGGGAUUCACGGCCUGCUGCGAUCCCUUUCCUUAUCCCUGCUGCGAUCCCUGUCCUGAUCCCUGUCCUUAUCCCUGCUGCGAUCCCUGUCCUGAUCCCUGUCCUUACCCCUGUCCUUAUCCCUGUCCUGAUCCCUGUCCUGAUCCCUGCCCUGAUCCCUGUCCUGAUCCCUGUCCUGAUCCCUGUCCUUACCCCUGUCCUUACCCCUGUCCUGAUCCCUGUCCUGAUCCCAGCCCUGAUCCCCGUCCUGAUCCCUGUCCCGAUCCCUGCUGCGAUCCCUUUCCUUAUCCCUGCUGCGAUCCCUGUCCUGAUCCCCGUCCUUAUCCCUUCCUGGAUCCAUCCCCUGAUCCCUGCCUGGAUCCAUCUCUGGAUCCAUCCCUGGAUCCCUGUCCCGAUCCCUGUCCCAAUCCCUGCCCUGAUCCCUGUCCUGAUCCCUGUCCUGAUCCCUGCCCUGAUCCCUGUCCUGAUCCCUGCCCUGAUCCCUGCCCGGAUCCAUCCCCUGAUCCAUCCCUGGAUCCAUUCCCGGAUCCCUGUCCCAAUCCCUUCCUGGAUCCAUCCCCUGAUCCCUGCCUGGAUCCAUCCCUGGAUCCACUCCCGGAUCCCUGUCCCGAUCCCUUCCUGGAUCCAUCCCCUGAUCCCUG
This 1091-nucleotide long non-coding RNA is filed under the name Parus major (Great Tit). RNAcentral describes it as "lncRNA (ENSPMJG00000006812.1)". The record is from RNAcentral. Lineage: Eukaryota; Metazoa; Chordata; Aves; Passeriformes; Paridae.